AGUGAACGCUGGCGGUAGGCCUAACACAUGCAAGUCGAACGGCAGCACAGGAGAGCUUGCUCUCUGGGUGGCGAGUGGCGGACGGGUGAGGAAUACAUCGGAAUCUACUCUGUCGUGGGGGAUAACGUAGAGAAACUUACGCUAAUACCGCAUACGACCUACGGGUGAAAGCAGGGGACCUUCGGGCCUUGCGCGAUUGAAUGAGCCGAUGUCGGAUUAGCUAGUUGGCGGGGUAAAGGCCCACCAAGGCGACGAUCCGUAGCUGGUCUGAGAGGAUGAUCAGCCACACUGGAACUGAGACACGGUCCAGACUCCUACGGGAGGCAGCAGCGGGGAAUAUUGGACAAUGGGCGCAAGCCUGAUCCAGCCAUACCGCGUGGGUGAAGAAGGCCUUCGGGUUGUAAAGCCCUUUUGUUGGGAAAGAAAUCCAGCUGGCUAAUACCCGGUUGGGAUGACGGUACCCAAAGAAUAAGCACCGGCUAACUUCGUGCCAGCCGCCGCCGUAA
This 506-nucleotide ribosomal RNA is filed under the name uncultured bacterium. RNAcentral describes it as "partial 16S ribosomal RNA". It matches the Rfam family "Bacterial small subunit ribosomal RNA", at positions 29 to 523 of the family's 1533-position model. The record is from RNAcentral.